ACUUUCGAAAUUUCUUAAUUUUUCAUUAUACUUAUUAUUUGGUCAUUAAAUUUUCGCACAUUUUUUUUCUACUCUACAUAUGUAUAUAUAAUAUACAUUCGUCUGUUUGGACUCAUUAUAAAUACGGAUCGAAGAUGUGUUCGGGCUCAUUAGUCACGUGGUUUCGCUUCGUCCAUCCCUGCAUGCUCGGUCGCGCGACCCUGGACUGGCAAUGAUAAUGAGUAGUGGGAGAACUUUCCGAGCGCGCCAACUAAUUUUGCCCGUCUUUAGUCAUAACGUAACUAUCAAAACUAAUUUAUUUAUCUCGUUUCAUUUGUAUCAAAUGUAUCAAAACUUACAUCUACAAAUGUUGUAAGGGGAGACCGAGACCAAAUCAUGACUCAUUUAGGCGUUUUGUUUGCACCGUUGCCAUGGAAACCGCGCCUCUAGUCGCUAUGUUUGACUCUAUGAGCUAUGAGCUAGCGGUCCUGUUUGAACAGUGACCGCUAGCUGUAAUUCAAUUUUAAAUAAAAAUAACGGCCUCAGUUGAAUAUUUAAUAAAAAAUCGUCCUCUGUCUUACAACAUAAAAUUCUAGUGAAAAAUUUAGCGGAGCCACCCUCCAUUUAUUAAUUAAAAAAAGUGUUAAUGACAAAACGGUAUUUAAAAAGGUCACGAGCCGCCACUGGGCUUUGGUUCGCAGUUUUGUAGAAUACAACUCGUUUCGUUCGUAGAUAGAAUUUCAAGGGCAACCCGGUUUUAGCAGUAGCACACUGGAGCUCGUUUCGCUCGAUGAAAGUAUCUCGAAAGUUCUUGCAAUGCAUUUUAGUACUAACGUGAAACAGCCGUUUUCGGUUUUGUUUUUCUAGUUAAGCAUCGCCAGGUUCUGCUCCUUGAAAAACUUCCAGGACUGACUAGUGUUUUAUUUUUUAUUUUUUAUUUUUUUUAUAGCAUUAUACAGUUUGGUCGGCUCGUUAAAAGGGUUUCCGCGAACGACUUUUAUCUUCCAGAGAGUAUAUGUUUGUUAAUAAUUUGUGUUGAAAGUAAUGUAUGAGUUUACGUUUGUUUUACAACAAAUAUUUAUAUAAAAAUCUUCAAACAUGAGAAAUUCGUAGAAUAUGCAAAUAUUUUGCUACAUUUCCGUCAAAAAGUUAAGUGCGUUGAACAAGUGUGUAAGGUAAAACGUUCAACGGAACCAGGGUUAGUGAAAGCAGCGAAAGAGUGUGAGUUAUGUGCCCCGAUCAAAUGGAUUUAUGGUAAACUGUCUUCGCUUAUUUGUAACAGCCUGAUUAUUAGUUUAUUCCAUUUGUUAAUGUUAAUUGAUGGAAACGAAAUAACUCGCAAGACUUGUGGUGUGACACUACCCUCUCAUUCUCCCAUAACGACGCCCCUGACUUAACAGUAUCAUUGUUUUGUUUGCUUUUUCGUUUUUCGGUAGCUGUUCGUCUUUAUCGGUGCUCGGUCUUUUCUACCAUAGCAGUUAUCUGUUUAUACCGCAUUGAUUAUCUGCUGGCAAAUUCUGUUAUAUCUUAAAAAUACUUAAGAAUUGAUGGUUUCAACUUUAAAAUCUUGAGUAAAUAUGCCAGGUUUCGGCGUUCGUGUAGCGAAUGUGUUUUAAAGGGAUUUUAGAAAACACACUUUGAAAGGUUUUAUUAAUACAUAUUUAAACACAGGAAAAGUUGGAGUAACAACUUUUUCAUAGGGGCAAGUUAUUUUCAUCUUUGUAGAAAGACUAAACUGAAAUUUAGUUGUAGAUAUAUUUAAAUGUUCUGACGAUUUCUCUACUACUAUUCCAGGAUUCGCCACUUCUGCCUCCCAAUCAUAUUUGAUUCUCAGCCUAGGGAAAAUAGUCUCUCUCUUGAUUUCAUGUUACAGGCACAUUUACUCUAAACAACCAUUAAAGAUUCAUUAACGUUAACAAAAAGGGAGUGUUUUAGUUGAUGAGUUAUUUUCUUUUCAAAAUCGUUCUGGUGGAUGCCCAAAAUGGACAUUUUCCCUAUUAUUAUAAAAUUUACUACAUAGACAUUGCAACAUAUUUACUAUGUAGACCAUGGACCUCAACACGACUUUCUAUUUUACGCGAGUAAUAUCAGCAAUCCUUCGAAAGAAAGGAAAAAACUGUCAUUUUCUAGUUAUACGGAUCCAUAGCUUAACUCGGAAGCCCGUUUGGGAAUUAUGUAAAAAAGAGCACGUUAGGGCGUAACAUAUGGCGCUCGUAAAACGUUUAGAGUCCAUCCAAAAGACGGUUCGAGGGCGGCGCCGGUGAAAUAAAAUAAGAAAUUAACGUAAUAAUCAUCAAUAAUGUCGGAGUGGCAGCAUGCUUGACUUUCACCAGAUAACAAGCUUGUUAGAUGCCAUAAAACACGCUAAAUGGAUUUAGUUUCGAGAGGGUGUGAAAUGUAAUUACUGUGUAAGCUUUCGAUUACGAUGUCGGCGAUAACAUACUUUCCUUCGGGAAUUUGCAUCGUCACCCCUUAACCGCUCUACGCAUACAGGCCUCUACUCGUCCUAGAGGCACUUUUAUUUGCAUUUUUUCUAAAUUCCCUAUAGCGCUGUAAAUACUUAGAAAUGGCGUAGUCUCCACGCGCGAUAGCUCCAGAUUAAUGGCAUAGGGCGGAUUUUUCAAAUUCUUUAUGAAAAUAGGGUUGCAAAGGAAGUUUCGAUACCGACUUCAGUAUUAACAAAGGUUUUUGAACUUGAACUUUAUCGUGCAUCGGUUUCGAAAGUAAUGGAUUUUUAAGUAUGCGUUUAAAGGUAUUUGCAUAAUUGACGUGUUCGAUAGAAGGAACGAUUUUUUUAAAUUAAUUGGCUCACAACCCUUGAAAAAUUGGUUGGGACAAGCUUCACUACACCGCAUACUGCGAAACGAGGCGUAAAAUUGGCGGUAACAAUUUCUUUACAUAUAUGUCACAUGUUCUGGUAAUGUGGUAGAGCUAGACGUUUCAUGACCGCUAGAGUAAAAAAAAAUAGGUCCCCUGUUUCCUUGUGCUUUGAGGUGAUAUAUUCUUUCCGGUAGCUGGAUAGGUUUUAUUGUACUUUGGGGGGGAGGGAAGUUCUAUCGAAAUAACCUUCGACCAACUUUUUAGUAUUGUGCCAUAUUUAUGGAAUUAUGUCAACUAUUCAAUAUUUUUAAUUACUCUUGUUUUGAAAUGGCAAAACUAAUCCAUCUAUCUUUUAAGCCGGAAUCCACUUCCCCUUGGAGACAGGAUUCUCUCUUUAACUUUAAAUGGCGCACCUCGCCAACUUCAAACUUCUACGGACAAAACUAUUAUAAACUUCAACUGUAUUUUGUACAAUCCUGGAGAUGCGAGGAGAACACAAACCACGAAAUUUGUUAUCGAACAUAUUAAGAUAAUUGCUGAUUAACAUAUUCUUGUCAUACAGAAACUAAGUUGCUACAUCUUGAAUUUUUAUCAAACACGGGCAAGACACAUAUUUAAUUUGUAAUCGAGUCGUCAUUGAAAAGGAUUUAUCAUAUCGGUGAUUAAAUCACACUAAAUGUUAAAAAUGUCACUUUUUAAUAAGAUUGAACUCUAGCAGUAUAUAUCCGAUAAAUAGUGUUCUUAUAGGGACAAAAAAUUCUACAGGAGUAAGAUCACAAGAUCUCAGGCGCUACAUAUUCUCUGUAUUUUGACGAAAAAUCCUUUGUUCAAAAAUUCACGUAAUAUUGGCAUUGUGGUCCUAGCCGAAUGCGCUGUAGCUCCGUCUUGUUGAAAAUAAACUACCGUUUCAUUGUCGUAAAGUUGUGGUAUAAAAUUUGAUAAACAUUCUUGGUUACCUAAAUUUUUAGCAUUUUCACGUUUUUUGCGAUGUUGACCAUUUAAUAUUAACACUUUUUGUCAGUUCACACACGAAGUCUUGUCAAAGGUAAAAUGCCAUUUUUCCGAUAAACAUCCUCUUGCGUGACUCCCUAUUUGAUAUUCAACAUUCUUCUAUUCUUUUUUUAUCAGGCCACAGAGUGUUCUGAACAAAGUAAUGAAAAUUGCAGUUGCAAACAUUUUGUUUCUCAGUAACUUUUACUGAAUUACUAGAAUUGAACACUCCUCAUUGUGGUUAGUUUAGUCCUGUGGCUCACAUCUGCAUGUUUUUACUGCAGAACAUUUUAUUUUUCACUGUUUAAACUAUAUAAAACAAAUGUUGUCAAAUUUUUUAAUAUUUUUGCGAACUCUUCCUUUGAAACUGGCAGAGUGAUUUAUGUUUUUAGCGAUAAUGCAAUUGUCGUUGGUUUUCUAUUUAUUUUCCGUGACGCAUCUCGCCAACUUGAAACUUCUGCAGGCAAAACUAUUAAAUCCUUUAAUUGCCUCUAGCUGGAUAUAAGAAGCGCGCGGAACACAAACGAUGGUAAUUUGUCAUCGAAAAUAUUAGAAUAAUUAUCAAAUAUUUCGUCCGUUUCUUUCGUAGCUACAAGGCUUUUCCAUUUUGAGGUCUUUCUCAUAGAACGCUUUCACAACUGGGGCACCGCAAGAUACGAGUAUUUAAGAACAGUGGCGUGACAACAUUUGAAAUAAUUAAUCACAAACAAAACAAAUUACAAGUUGUCUUUUCUGCAUUGCAUAAUUUUUUUAAGUGGCACAUCAGCUAAAUAAAUAUUGGGACAAAAUUUGACUUGUCUCAUUUAUCUUCCAUUUGGAAUUGUAAAGUUUUGCGCACGGUAGAUUAAAUGUUUUGAGUCUUGCAAAAAAUUUUUCGCUGCAGAAACCUCUUUAGGAAAAGUGCGACGAAACCCACAGAAGAUACUCGUGUUAAAACUAACGAAAAUAUUCGGCUUUUGUUUCGUACUAUUAGUUACAAAUCUAAAUAAUUAGCUACAAAAGAACUUCCUUGGCGGCGGCUCCUCGCUAAAGAGAGCUGCUACGGAUUCUGGAGAGGCGGCGACGCUGAUGGUACAUGCGUUGAGGCUAAGGGCGGCGAACGUGCAGAGCCCAACUCGACCACAACAACAAAAUAUAACAAUCAUAUUUGCCAAUUUUUUUUUAGGUUAUCAAAAACAAAAUUUCGUAAAAUAAAACUUUACAAUCUUUCAAAGAAGCCGGAUUUACUGGAAUGUAUUUCAGGGGUUAGCGCAGUGCUAUCGAAAUAACCUCUGACCAAUUUUUCAAAAUACGAACUGAAAUAUAUAUGGUUCAUAUAAAUAUUUUAUUCAUUUCAUUAGCACAAUGCAAUUUUGGAAUGGUGGCAGCUUAAUACGAGAAUAACUUUUUUAAAAUUCGAUGAAUAAAAUAUUUCAAUUAUGAAGUAGAAAUUUAUUUUUGUUAUUUAUGAGUUUCGGCAGAUGUGUCGCGUUUAUCCAUUAUUUUUUAGUGAAAUUUUUACACAAAAUAAACACUGCAGAUUAAUAACGACGUUAGUGGGACUUAGUAUUGUUGUAUGCCAACGCACGCAACUUAUAAUGCUACUGACAAAACAGCCACAUGUAAUGUAUUAAAAGCCUCACUUUCAACUAAUUAAACUGCUUGCAGCCGUCAUGUCUACGAUUUCGUUUUCGUAAUUAUCAAAAUUAGAUGGGUUAGUUUGUAGAAAAAAAAAAUCUAAAACACCCUUUUCAGCCCAUGUACACUUACCUCUAAACACACCUGAGUAGAAACAUCGAAAAAGGUAUUUGUAUCUUCUAAAUAAACUAAACGCAAGUGUUUGCGUGCUUUUAGUUGACUGAUUUUUGCUCUCUUCGUGACAGAACUAAUGGAAACUGGCGGCUACUAUAUUAGCAUCGAGUUAGUGUUGCUUCUUAAUAUAUCUCUCGUCCUCUGGAGGGUUUGCUGCAACGGCGGUGAUUCGUCUCAAUUUAGCAAAUUGAUAUCGACUAGCUCCUGUUUGGAUGCUGCAUUAAUGGUCGUUACGUCAAAUUAAAAACGUUACGCUGGAUAUAAAUUACUAUCCUGACGUUUCACUUUUUAGAGAAAAACCGUUUAAUUAAACACACGAGCAAUGAAUGGAAUGAGGAAUAUGCUUAGUUGCUUCUUGAUUGAGACAAAUGUAAUUGGAUGACUUUUGAAAAAAUCUGUUCUUGUGGAAAAGUUUCGACGAUUCGCAAUAUCUGUGAUGUAUUUAGUCUGUGAUUACAGAAAAUAAAACAUCAGUAAAUUAACGCAUUUUGCACAUUUUAGAAACAAAAAAGGUCAUGAUGAAGAUCUAAUUAUGAAUCGUUGGUUAAAGAUAUUUCAUUGUUUGUUUACUUGCUCGUGUUUGUUUUGAGCUUGUUAAUUUGAACAUAGAAUAAUAAGUAAUAAAUUUAGCGUAAAAUGGAGUGCAUGCAAGCAGCAUACAGUGUGCUUUCAAACUGAAUAGAAACAAUUUGCUCAAAUGAGUGCCCAACAAUAGAGUUAUCGUAACACUUUGUCUCGAAAAUGCGAUAAACGUUAAGGUCCCGUGAUUAUAUAGUAUUCUGACUUUACAGCAAUACACUGUUUGAAGUAACUGUAUCUGUUUUGGCAUCUGUCUUACAAUGUGUACGGAAAAUUUGAAAUACAAGAAAUAUCGAUCUGAAGCUUGAAAUAACCAUUUCCAAUAAAAAGUGAACUUACUGCCUCAUUCACCAGUUACAAAGUGUCUUUUAGUAUAGGUAGGUUUCUCAAUUAGGAAUUCAUUUUUAAAAAUAUUGCCAUUGUUCCAUCAAUUCAUAUUUAACGAAAAUAUAUAUUGUCAACACAUCAGAAAACUGGUUAUUUAACUUGAAAACUCGACUGCAUCGUCAUUAUUUAUUUUAGCGCUUAUAUUGAUUUUGUUUUGAGUAAUUCAACUAAAGUAUUACCGCAAUACCGAGCAAUUAUUUGAGUCCCUUCAGGCAGAGAAAAUAUGUUCAGGACUUUUUCACAGGAACCGUAGUAUUUCAGAGUUAGCUGUUUCGAAUAUAGAAAAUGUGGCACCGUUACAAUUCUUGCCAAAAACUAAAACCAUAUUUCUUCGAACGUACGAAAAUUUUCCACAAAUGUCAACGCUAGUUACUUUUUAAUAAGAACUGUAAAGUUCCUGCACACUCAACAUGAAAGUUUACUCAUUCCAAAAUGAUAUGAAUAAUGGCGUGAAUUUUACCUGUACUAAUUUGCGGAGUGUUACACGCUGUUAUGCGUCUGCUUUGAUUACAGUUUUAGACCUUUAAAUUAGUUUUUUUAUAUUUAAGGUAAAUACUGUGCUUUAAUUCAUGUUUCUUUUGGUUGUUUAAAUAUGUUAUGAUUGUUUUGUGCGAACACAUCUCAGUGUAUCGCGUGACAUUUGACAUUUUUUUAACCCCCGAUCCAAAAAGAGGGGUGUUAUAAGUUUGAACCCUUUGUCUGUCUGUCCGGCGUUUUUUUUUUGAAAGCUGACUUAAUCUGCAGGUGGUGCUAAUUCCACAGAACAGUUGCGCACAAACUGCCUGAGAGACAAGGGUUAGUUGGGCACUAUGGUCAGAAAUAUUUUGUAUAUAGUUCUAGGGACUAAUACGAUAAAGAGUUUUUGCCUAUCCUGACAAAAAUAAAUAACUACUACGAGAAAUAUUUAUAUAACUAUGAAAGUAGUUUUUAUUAUUCUUAAAUUUUCUACCAAUAGGUCGAUCUUAUCAGCCUACGAGAUAAGAAUUAUCGCUGUUAAUUCAAAUGGUUUUUCCACACAACCUUAAUUUGUGUAUCCUGUGUCUCCUUUAAUAAACCCUUCCGUGGUCCAGUUUGUAUGUCUUGCUGUUAGUCACCACGACGGACCCCGUAGGUGCGAAGAAUUGUAUCCCAGGUUAUCCCGUUUUUGAUAAUGACUGUCAUUUGUAUGAAUUGUGAGGGUGCUAUUACGCCCAUGAUACCCUCCGCUCAGUGUGGAACAUGUUGAAAAUAAUCACAUAUUAAAUGUUUAAGAUUUGGUGAGGGCGAAAUUUCCAAAAUCAUUAAUAAAAAAUCUCCGUGGAUGAAAUCCAAAUGUUCUUCUUUUUCUCUUGUCAAGAAACAAUUAACCAUUAUGAAACAAGAAAUUAAGAGAACUAUUGAUAAUCAGUUUAAAAACAUCAGUGACAGACUAACUGAGGUAGAAAAUAAUGUAGUAGGAUAGGAAACGCUAUAGUUCAAUUAUUAUAAAAUUCCAAAAUGUACUUAAAUCAUCGAUUGAUCAAAAAUCGAUGAUGAUAUUAAUCGAGUUAUGAAUAUAUUGUCAUUGAUAUUGGCUCUUAUACUUAAACCUGACACUGUCGGCCAGAAUGUUGGGAUCUUAGGGUCUAGUUAGAGGAUUUUUUUUAAGAUCAAUUCUGGUGUUUAUGAUGUUCUUAUUAUUACAGAAUCUUGGUUGUCUAGUGCUACUUAUUUCUAGUGGUUGAUUGUGUUUAAAUAACUACAAUCUUUUUGAUUGAGAGUGAUGGUGAUCUUACAGCUAAAUAUCAUGGGGUGGAGUACUGGUAACAGUAAAAAAUGACUUGUAUUCUCAUGUUGUUUUGCGCGGUCAAUCUGUUGAAGGUAUGUUUGUACACUUAAGAUACAACGGCUUAGACCUAAUUGUUGGUGGUGUGUAUAUUCCACCCGCUUCUGCUAUAAAUAUUCAUGACGAUCUUUAUUUUGAUUUGGAAUCAAUUUUUGAAUGGUUUUCAGAUUCUUCUUAUGUUAUCGCUAGUGAUUUUAAGUUGCCGAAUUUUGUAAAGGGUGGUAAUGAGGUACUUCAAUUGUCUGUAUCACAGAGGUUGCAUAAUGUUAUCAGAUCCACUUGCUCCUUUUUUUAUCUUAUUUUUUCGAACAUUAACAAUAUUGAAGUCUCCCUCCUUAGAUCCCAAAGUGUUGUUAAGUUGAUCGGUGAUUAAAAAUCGAUUUAUUUCUUAGGAAUUCGAAUUUACACCACUUAUUACACAGGGAUUAUGUACAAAAUAAUUCCGACUGGAAUGGAUUUGACUAGUCUACUCCCGUUAUCUAGACUUCAUUAACUGCUCCCGACGGUGGUUCCCAUUUAAACAGCCGUGCGGUCCUUCUCGAAGAUCUCUUUCACCACUUGUAGGCUUGUUCUCGAACAGUCGUCGCGACAUCCACUUCCAGGCUCUUCUGCGCCCACCGUCACCGACAAUGAGUCAUCAUCGCCGCACAUACUAGAACCCAUAGCGGGGCGGAGUAUGGGUUUAUUUCGUAACAGUAUUCAUGAUUCUCCCAGCUCUUGGAGUACUUUUUCUGUUAAAGCGUUGUGCAUAAACUCGUUCUUAUGAUUUUGUUAAAGAAAACUAUACUAUAUGAAAAUUAUGCUUCAAUAUGUUGGGAUUCUUAUUUGGUUGGUAAUGACUUGUAUGAAUUGGUUGCACUUUUUUAUGCUAUAACCUUUGAUGGUUUUGACAGUUACACUACAUACAAAACUGUUAAGCAUAAUGUGCGUAAGUACACCGUAUGAUAUAACAAACAACUUUAGGAUCUCUAUUGGACGAAGAAAUUAGCACAUUUAAAUUACAAAAUAUCUGGCAGGCUUGAUGACUAUUUAUUUUUUAAAUCUUUGAGAUGUAGAUGUAAUGAUUUAAAUGAUAAACUCUAUGCUUCAUACAUAAUUAACGUUAAGGAAGCUAGUAUUCCUUCUGAAAUGAUCCUUGUCAGUACUCUGGGAAAGGUGGGGAUGAAAUAGUUAGUAUUUUCGAUAGUAUUUUUCCUCGGUAUAUGAAAUUGAUGAUAUGAUAGUUGGUUUAAACGUUACUCUUUCAGAUAUUUUUCGUCAUAUUUGUAACUGAAAGUCGUCAUGUAAUCUUCGUCCCGAUGUGGUGCCAAGCGUAGUAGUUUUAAAGAGCUGUAUCCGUUCUAUUUGUCUACCUUUAUUGGUAUUACUUAUGGCAUCAUUGGAUAAAGGUAUUUGUCCUAAACUGUGGGAGAACAGUUACGUCAUUUUUAUUUUUCAAAUGCAGUGGGCAUCAUUUUCGAUCAUCUCUAGUCAGCAGCAUAGCUUUUAUGUUAAAAGGUCCGCAUUGUCUAAUCUGGUAGAAUAUCAGUCAUUUCUAAAUGGUGCAUUAUCUAAACGCGUUCAACUAGACACUGUGUAUAUACGGACUUUGCGAAAGAAAAGGUUACUGAUUCUGGAACCUCAUAAAUCCUGACGUGUUCCUAAUAGAACCUAAAAGCUUAUAUUAAUAAGAUAUUCAGCUUGAGGCACAAUAAUUUCUAUAAGUAUUUAAACUGUUUACAAUUUUCGAGCCCUUUUCCAUUUAUGGUGUAUCUAUUAAUAACUUUGUUUUUUAUUCUACCACAGGACACUUCACAAAAUGCGUAAUAUCAUACCAUGUCUUCUUGUAUCAUUGCUACUUUCGUAUUACAUAAGCAAGUUUCAAAUAUUCCUUGUAUAAAUAAGUUUUACAACGAAGACUUUGCUAUAUAUAGAAAUAACAUUGGUCCUAAAUUCGAACCUUGCGUAACUUCCGAGUGUACUUCAUAUACAGUACUUGAUACUCUACGUACUGACGUUUAUAUCAAAGAUAUAAACAAGUUCACGAUGUUCUGACACAGCCCAAAAUAUUUCGAUUUUUCAAAGAAAUUUCUAUGGUUGAUCCGAUCAAAUGCUUUAGUUAAAUAAACAUACACGAUGUCAACUUGAUUUUUAUUAUAUAAAGCAAUCGACACAGUGGAUAAAUUGACAUAAGUUUGUAGCGGUUGAUCUGCCUUUCAUAAAACAGUGUGCUGUGGCAUUACCUUCAACUUUAUAUGAUUUUGCACCACAUAAUUCCAAAUUUUGUAGAUUUUGCAGAUUUUCAAGAUUUGGUGUGCUGCUGACGAAUACUAAUUCCACGAAGGGUUUUAACCUUGUCCAUAUAUAAAUCGAGUUUACUCCUGUGAAACAAUUUCAAGUACUUCUUCUUUUCUUUUAUGUUGUUAAUAAUGUCCUUAGUGAACCAAAUUGUAUAUUUGGAUGAGUUGAUAGGGGUUUUUGGCACGAUAGCGUCUAGAACUUCAUACAAUUUCUGGUAAAAAAAUUUACCGCUUUAUUGGCAUCAUAUAUGUAGUUUAAAUCAUCCCAAUUAAUCAAUGAUAUUGACUGAUACAAAUUUUCAAAAUCAGCCCUACGCAAAUUAUUAGCAUAGUUAUUAUGGUUCCCCAUAAAUGAUUGUGUGAAUCGCUGAUUAUCUGUAGAUCAAUAGAUAAACUACGGUGCUGAGGAUCUUCUUUCACUAACGGAUAAUCAGAUUUACGAAUACUGUCAAACCAAUCCCUGGAUUUGUCCAAGGUUUGAAAAACAUUGACUUUAUAGUCAUCCAGGGUUUCAUCAAUGAUGGCAAAAGUUGUCUGUAUACAUUAAUAUAAAUUAGGAAGAGUAAGAGUAGUGGCCCUAAUAUAGAUGCUUGAGGGAAGACUCCUCUAUGUAUUGAGAGAUACUAACAACGCUCCCUUUGAGUCCGUUAUAUUCAAGUUUUUAAAUGAGAAUACAGAUGGCAUAUUCUAGAAUUUUUGACGUUAUUGGAAGAAUAGAAAUUUGCCGAUAGUUUCUAAAUCCAUUCCGAUUCCCUUUUAUAUAGAGCGGCCUUACUCUUGUAGUCUUUUUAAAAUUUUUGGAAAAAUCCCUUGUACUAAACAAUCAUUCAGAAUUUCAGUUAAUGGAUUUAUAAUAUAUGAGGAACAAUGUUUUAAGAGAAAAGUGUUAAUAUAGUAUACGUCUUCAGUUCUCUUAGAAUGUAGACUAUUUAUUAUGAUCUGUACAUCAUCAAUUUCUUAUGCGUAAUUACUGAAGGAAAUGUUAAAAGCGUUUGUGUUAUUGCUUGAAGGAGUUGGAAUUUGUCUACUACUUUUCCUGUUUCUAAUUUGAUUAUUUUCCACACAGUUUGGACUUUAUUAUUGGAACCUGUUUUAGCUUGCAUAAGCUUUUUGUUAUGAUUUUUUUUGGAGUUGUAAAUGUUUUCAUUAUCAGCUGGGUUAAGUCAAGGGCUAUCCAGAUCUGUUGAUUUUUUGUGGGCAUUUGCACAAGUAUUUAGCCUAUCCCAGGAUUGGACUUGCAGACAGUUAUUAAAUUUGGUUAUAUUUUCAGCAUUGUUGACCCUUUUAUUCUGUUAUUUACCGGUUUUUGUGUUUUCAUCAGUAUACUGAAUUAUUAAAAUUUCCAGUAACAAAUAUAUUGUCAAGACAAUUCUGUGCACGUGUGGAGUCAAAUAUUGUUUGAUGCGUGUCAGAAGAGGAAAAUAGAUUUCUUACACUGAAAUCUUCAUUUUGCAAAUUUUUUAGUAAGAAUUUAAAUAUAAAAAUCCUGAAAUGAAUCAAUUAAAAUACCAGAAGCAGAAGUUGUAGUUUGGUAGAAGCUAGAAACCUUCGCUGAGUAUAAAUUAUGACGGCGACAUGUGGCUUCAUUAAGGCAAAACUGUUACUUGAAUAUUUCUCAUUAAACGCAAGUGCAAUGGGGUGAAAAGGUGAAGGUCGGGUUUUUAAAUCAAAAUCGAGCCCUAUCUCGCCUUUCCUAAUUAUCGCAAUCUCUCCUCCGAAACGAAUAUAAUUGAUACGAAUUUCCCUCAAGCUUUAAUAAUGGAAAAUAACAAAAGGAUGGCGAGAAAGUCGCGCCGUUACCACCGAGGCCGUUAUUAAGUUUAGGAGAAUGGCCGACAGUUAUUUUGAGUCAAAGUUUAAAUUGCCCAGGAAUUUGCUUGUUAACACGAGGCGUCAUAAUUGAAGCCUCGGAAUAUUUUCACGGUUUUGGGAAUAAGAAAGCGGGAUGUUUGGAAGUGACAAUAACUUCAUCAAAGCGAAAGACACCGCAAGGCGGUCUCGAGAGGUUCGGGCUUUUCGAAAACGUCGCCGUCCUCUGCCGUCGUCGAAUAAUUACGGAACAUUGUUACGGUUACGACCGAAUCGCGUGUUCAACGGGUUUAUCAAACUUUCUAUAAAUAAAAGCUGAAUUAUUUCAAAACAUAAAGCAUGCUUUAUUAUUAAGGCAUUUUAUAUCGGGCUCCAUUUUUAGAAGUAAUUUAUGAAAAUAAUUUUUAUUUUAAUAUUUUUGGGGAUUAAUUUUGCUUUAUUUUCUUUCACAAACAUUUUCCGACAGAUUAGGGAUUUGCUAAAGUAGGUAUAAGGCUCUUACUCCAGAACAAAUUACAAAUACAAUUUAACCGUCUUAUAAAUUUCACUUAAGCUUGUUUAAAGCUGAGUUGGGUGGGACACGAUAUUUAUACUUACACUUUUGGGGUAAAAUUUGUUCUUAAAUAAAACUUUAUUUAAGAACAACAUUUCAACAUUAUCAAAAUGUUUUGAAAAUAUGUAGCAACUUUUACAAGAUUGCAAAGCUUUUUUAUGUGCUUUUCGCAGUCGAUGUUUAAUCGCUGGAAAGUUUCUUCAGGAAACACACUUCUUUUUUUGUCGGUUUUCUUCACGAAUGAAGCUUUCCAUUUGGGAAUUACCUUUGUAAGAAUUAUUAAAUUUUUCUUCGAUAAAAUAUUCAUAUAGGUCAUUUGUAUUUAUUUUGACGAAAUGCUUCUGUGGUCAUAAAUAUUUGAGGCGGAAUUUCUAAUAUGUAUGUCUGUCUACGUGCUACGAAAAAGUUAGACGUUUCCUAAUGUAAUCUUUUUGUUCGUCUUCACUAAACUAAUUUACAGCAAGCGAAGUCAAACUAAAUUUUUGUAUUCUUCGAUGUGUUCAACUGGUGAUCCAUUGAGGACAACAUUUUUUUGAUGGGUGGAGCAUUAUUUUUGUAACGGCAUCUAAAUUCUCACUGAGAAUUGCGUCAAGCGCAGCCUAUGCUUAAAUAACACGUUUUUUUUUCAUACAUAUCUCGAAAAAGCUUUGAUCCAGAUUUUUGAGGUACCGACAUUUUUCUGUUCCCAAAUUUGGUGUCAUUAAAAAAUGAAUUAACUUCUUUGGGACGAAUUAUGGCUGCAUUAUUCGCGCCGAGAAUGAUUUUCGAAGCUUUUCAUUAACUCAGAUUUACCCAUUUCCGGAUUACCGUUAUUAAAUUAAUACUGUUAUCUAACUGAGAAGACCGAAAUGCGUUUUCGUUAAUAAAAUAUUUGUUGAGAAAUUUAUAACGCUCUGAAUCACUAAGAUCACCUUUGCUAUUAAGCCAUUCGAAAUUUACGUUGUAUAAUUAUUUAAGACAAGUUUCGUAUUUUCUUGGACUUUUUCUUUGUACGUGAUGCUAAUAAUAAUAAUAUUUUGAGAAAGACAACUUUCAAUCUAAGAUUCAGGUUUCUUCUUCUUCACCUAUAUACAUGGACCGUUCAGCAUUUCCACCCGAUUUAUAACGCUCUGAAUCAUUAAGAUCACCUCUGCUUUUAAUCCGUUGUAAGUUUUUAGCAUUAGGUUCAAAAUAGUGAACUGUUUGCGUGUGUUCACUGCAAGUUUGUUGUAAUUCAGAAUCACUAUAGUUCCUAUUACCUAAAAGAUAACAACGUUGGAUUCAUCAAGAUUAAAAUUAUCUUUGUGUAUACUUCGAUUGAAUUUAAACAUACGAAAUUAAUUGCUUUCAAAUUAUGACAGUUUUGAUUCCUUUUUGGUAAAAGGUGUCGAUGGCAACUAGUUUUCAAGUUUGUUUUUCAAUUUGUGGAAAUUAAUUGCACAAUUUAAGACAAGUGUCGCAUUUUCUUGGACGUUUUCUAUGUACAUGGUACAACUAAAAAAUAAUAUUUUGACAAACAUAGUCUUCAACGUAAGGUUCAGCAACUGUUUCUUUUUCUCCACCUAUACGACAUGGACCGUUCAGCAUUUCCACCAGAUUAUUGGUUGUAAUAUUUUCUAAAAAUCCAUUCGAAAUUUACAUUAUUUGAAUUGUUUAAAUAUUUAUCGAGCAAUUUAUAACGCUCUGAAUCAUUAAGAUCACCUCUGCUUUUAAUCCGUUCUAAGUUUUUAUCAUUAGGUUUAAAAUAGUGAACUGUUUUUGUUUCCGUGUUUUCACCGCAAAUUUGUUGUAAUUCAGAAUCACUAUAGUUCCUAUUACCUAAAAGAUAACAACGUUGGAUUUAUCAAGACUAAAAUUAUCUUUGCGGAUACUUCGAUUGAAUUUAAACAUACGAAAUUAAUUGCUUUUAAAUUAUUAUCAAAGUUUUGAUUCCUUUUUUGGAAAAAGGUGUUGAUGGCAACUAGUUUUCAUUUGCCAAGUUUGUUUUCCAAUUUGUGGAAAUUAUGUGCACAAUUUAAGACAAGUGACGCAUUUUCUUGGACUUUUUCUAUGUACAUGGUACUAUUGGUACUACUAAAAAAUAAUAUUUUGACAAGUAUAGUCUUCAAUGUAGGGUUAAGGAACUGUUUCUUUUUCUCCACCUAUAUACCUACAUUGACCGUUCAGCAUUUCCACCAGAUUGUCGGUUGUAAUAAUUUCUAAAAAUCCAUUCAAAAUUUACAUUAUUUGAAUGGUUUAAAUAUUUAUCGGACAAUUUAUAACGCUCUAAAUCAUUAAGAUCACCUCUGCUUUUAAUCCGUUCUAAGUUUUAUCAUUAGGUUUAAAAUAGUGAACUGUUUGCCUGUGUUCACUGCAAAUUUGUUGUAAUUCAGAAUCACUAUAGUUCCUAUUACCUAAAAGAUAACAACGUUGGAUUCAUCAAGAUUAAAAUUAUCUUUGGGUAUACUUCGAUUGAAUUUAAACAUACGAAAUUAAUUGCUUUUAAAUUAUCAAUGUUUUGAUUCCUUUUUUGGAAAAAGGUGUCGAUAACAACUAGUUUUCAUUUUCCAAGUUUGUUUUUCAAUUUGUGGAAAUUAUUUGCACAAUUUAAGACAAGUGACGCAUUUUCUUGAACUUUUUCUAUGUACAUGGUACUACUAAAAAUAAUAUUUUAACAAACACAGUCUUCAAUGUAAGGCUCAGCAACUGUUUCUUUUUCUCCACCUAUAAGACAUGUACCGUUUAGAAUUUCCACCAGAUUAUUGGUAGUAAUAUUUUCUAAAAAUUCAUCAUUACAAAAGUAAUGAUAAGAAUAUCAAGUUAUUUUUUUUAUAUUAUGAUAAAUUAUAUUCUAUAUAUAUUAUGAUUCUUAUUCUGAAAAAAGAUAUUUCUGGCAAUUAAUUUACACUUACUCGGUUUGUUUUUUAAUGUGCCGAAAUUAUUUGCACAAUUUAAGACAAGUGUCGUAUUUUCUUGGAUUUUUUCUAUGUACACGAUAUUACUAAAUAAUAAUAUUUCGAGAAAGAUAGCUUUCAAUGUAAGGUUCAGGUUUCUUUUUCUCCACCUAUGCAACAUGUACCAUUUAGAAUUUCCACCAGAUUAUUGGUGGUAAUAUUUUUUAAAAAUUCAUCAUUACAAAAGUAAUGAUAAGAAUAUCAAGUUAUUUUUUUUAUAUUAUGAUAAAUUAUUAUAUUUUAUAUAUUAUGAUUCUUAUUCUGGAAAAAUAUAUCUCUGGCAAUUAAUUUACACUUACUCAGUUUGUUUUUCAAUGUGUCUAAAUUAUUUGCACAAUUUAAGACAAGUGUCGUAUUUUCUUGGAUUUUUUCUAUGUACACGAUACUACUAAAUAAUAAUAUUUCGAGAAAGAUAGCUUUCAAUGUAAGGUUCAGGUUUCUUUUUUUCCACCUAUACGACAUGUACCGUUUAGAAUUUCGACCAGACUAUUGGUAGUAAUACUUUCUAAAAAUUCAUCAUUACAAAAGUAAUGAUAAUAUCAGGUUGUUUUUUUUUAUAUUAUUAUAUAUUAAGUAUAUUUAAAUACAUUAUGAUUCUUAUUCUGGAAGAAGAUGUCGGUGACAAUUAAUUUACACUGGUUAAGUUUGUCUUUAAAUUUGUCGAAAUUAUUUGCACAAUUUAAGAGAAGUGACGUAUUUUCUUGGAUUUUUCCUAUGUCCAUGAUACUAUUAAAAAAUAAUAUUUCGAGAAAGAUAGCUUUCAAUGUGAGGUUCAGGUUUCUUUUUCUCCACCUAUACGACAUGGACCGUUUAGAAUUUCCACCAGAUUAUUGGUAGUAAUAUUUUCUAAAAUGUCAUAAUUACAAAAGUAAUGAUAAUAAAAAGUUCUUUUUUUUCAUAUUAUGAUAUAUUAAGUAUAUUUAUAUAUUAUGAUUCUUAUUCUGGAAGAAGAUGUCGGUGACAAUUAAUUUACACUGGUUAAGUUUGUCUUUAAAUUUGUCGAAAUUAUUUGCACAGUUUAAGACAAGUGUCGCAUUGUCUUGGAUUUUUUCUAUGUACAUGAUACUACUAAAAAGUUAUAUUUUGUGAAAGAUAGCUUUCAGGUUUCUUUUUCUCCGCAUAUCUACAUGGACCGUUCAGCAUUUCCACCAGAUUGUCGGUUGUAAUAAUUUCUAAAUAUCCAUCAUUACAAAAAUGAGGAUAAUAUCAAGUUCUUUUUUUUGAUAGAUAUUGUAAAAUUUUGCUUCACACUUAAUGUUUCACUACUUUUUCACGUAUAUCAUAUUCCUAGUGACAAGUGUGACAAAUUUCGAAACACGAAAUAAUUUUCCUUCAAUCAGUUAUUCUUACCUUCAUUAACUAAAAUGAAUUUUUUGUCCUGACAGAGCUGGAUGGCUGUCCCAACGCUUUCAAACUCAUGAAGUGUCAGUGGACAUUUGUCCAUUAUCCAUAACAUUUGAGUAAAUGCUUUUACGGUUAAGUCCUUAAUGCUAUGCCCAUUGCCCAUUGAUGCAGUUGGUGACAAAUCGAUAAUUUUUUCCAACUCUACUUAAAUCAAAGGAUAAAAAAAUGCUUUCGAUUGGAUUAUGUCCAGUGUUUGCUUACCUUUUUUGGCAACACUGUUUUUUUUCUUUCACCCUUUCAUGAAGAUUAAUACAGCCUCGAAUAACAGUUUGAUUGUUGAACAGUAUAAAUAUAUCUAUAGUACUCCUUAUUUCUUGGUAAGAUUUAAAGUAUUUUCUUAUGCUGAAAUUUCCUUUUUUUGGAUUUUAAAUGUUCUGUAGACAAUAUUUUUCUCUCACUGUGCUUCAACUGCACUGAUUUCACUUCGAUACCUUUAUCUGAUCCAAGUUUGGUUGAUGACCAAGCCGUCAAUUUUUCCAAAUUCUUCUUCAUUCGAUGAGAAAUAAAAAUUUUUGACCGUGUUUUCGGUUGUUAGUUGAGAGAUAACAGAUAACUUUAUUCACAGGUAAUAACCGCAUUCGCAUAUUCUUUACCAUUCUCCGUCGUUCCAGUCCUCUUUCGAAAAGUCUAAAGUAACAAAGAGUAUCGAUGUGAAUAGUAUAAUAAAAAACAAGUGAACAAAAAACAGUUUAAUUCCAUUUCUCCUAUACUAUUUUUUUCAAUACUGAUUCAUUUAUUCUAAAUCCGGUUCAGAAUUACUUUGUUGUGAAAAACUAAGGUGGGUUAUCCACGGUGUUAUGGUGACGCGUCUUUAUAUCCCUAUUUCUUGGUAACAUUUAAAAUAUUUGCUUAUACUGAAAUUUCCUUUUUUGGAGUUUAAAUGUUCUGUGGACAUUAUAUUUUUUUCACUGUGCUUCAACUGCAAUAUUUUCACUUGGAUACCUUUAUCUAAUUCAAGUUUGGUUGACGACCAAACCGUCAAUUGUUCCAAAUUUUUCAUGGUUCGAUGAGAGAUAAAAAAUUUUAGCCGUGUUGUCGGUUGUUAUUUGAGAGAUUACUUUAUUCACAAGUAAUAACCGCAUUCUCAUAUUCUUUACCAUUCUCCGUCGUUCCGGUCCUCUUUCGAAAGGUCUAUAGUAGCAGUGGGAAAAAUUAGAAUAGUAUAUCUUAAUAUACUAACUCAUUAAACUGUUUAAUGGCAUUUUGUUAUUCUAAAUCCGAUUCGGAAUUACUUCGCUGUGAAAAACUAAGCUAUUCACGGUGUUAUGGUGAGGCGUCUUUCUAUAUCCUGUCAAAUGAAUUACAAAUUUUGUAAUAAUAAUGAAAUUUUCACUCAUUUUGAGAGUUGGAGGAUUAAAAAUUUUUAAUCCCUGCGAUUAGAACCAUAUUUUCAUAUUCUUUGCCUUUAUCUGUUGUUCCGCUCCUUUUUCGAAACUUCUAAAACAGUAAUAAAAGCUGAGCUACACUCCUAAAUUGAGUGAGUGUAACCCAUGUACAAACUCACUGGUUCUAAUGUUCUCGAUAAUAAAAUAACCAUCCAUCAGUCACAGAUGUGUUGAUUUCUCAUGUGGUCGAGGCCCUUGGUUUAGGGAGGUUUUUAGAGAAAGAGCCGACAGUCUUGGUCGGUAGUAAUGGUGCGGCAUUAGUACGGUUGGCUGACGGGUUGGGUAAACCUGGACGCGUAAAAUCUCUGGUUGACUAGAGACCUUCGUAUUUACCUGGGCACUGAGAGGACUCUCAGGUGCCUGACACAGCAGCUUCUGGUUUUUGACCGGCCGGUGGCGUUGACUGGAUAGGGUAGGAUAUUAACCCGUGCAAAACGAUUACGGGAAAUUCUGAGGGUAUGAUGCGCCGAAGACGACGCCCUGACCAAGGAAAGUAGGCAGUCAUGACAUCGGAGCUUUAUCAGGAAAGAGCUAGGGGGUGGAGACCCCCCGGUGAGUGACCACAAUGACAAUAUAAUGAAACAGAUAAGCAAGUAGUAAUGUUUUUCAUGAUGUGGUGACGAGCCAUUGACAAGGGCCCAAACCCCGUUAAGGCCGGACCUGCGAGUUGGGGUGCUCAUUUGCCGUGUCAUGGAUAGUGGCAAAAUUAGGUUCCCGUUGCCAUCUACCUGUCGUCUGCUAUUGCUGAUUUUAUUAAGUAUACUGGACUGAUUGGUGCAACAUUUUAGAUUUAUAAAAAUAUCGUGUGCAUUGUAAAUCGCUAACUAAAAUUUGUUUGAUCAUCCUCAUCAAAUAUUUGAUCAUUUCAAACUUUUACCAAGUAAAUCCUAUUUCAAGUGUACAAAAUAAAAUAAUCUAUGCUAA
Molecule: long non-coding RNA, 19616 nt
Organism: Zophobas morio
Lineage: Eukaryota; Metazoa; Arthropoda; Insecta; Coleoptera; Tenebrionidae
Exons: 2
Source: RefSeq, a predicted model, not a curated record